This 521-nucleotide ribosomal RNA is filed under the name uncultured Alphaproteobacteria bacterium. RNAcentral describes it as "bacterial SSU rRNA". It matches the Rfam family "Bacterial small subunit ribosomal RNA", at positions 355 to 896 of the family's 1533-position model. The record is from RNAcentral. Lineage: Bacteria; Pseudomonadati; Pseudomonadota; Alphaproteobacteria.
UGGGGAAUCUUGCACAAUGGAGGAAACUCUGAUGCAGCGAUGCCGCGUGAGUGAAGAAGGCCUUUGGGUUGUAAAGCUCUUUCGUCGGGGAAGAAAAUGACUGUACCCGAAUAAGAAGGUCCGGCUAACUUCGUGCCAGCAGCCGCGGUAAUACGAAGGGACCUAGCGUAGUUCGGAAUUACUGGGCUUAAAGAGUUCGUAGGUGGUUGAAAAAGUUGGUGGUGAAAUCCCAGAGCUUAACUCUGGAACUGCCAUCAAAACUUUUCAGCUAGAGUAUGAUAGAGGAAAGCAGAAUUUCUAGUGUAGAGGUGAAAUUCGUAGAUAUUAGAAAGAAUACCAAUUGCGAAGGCAGCUUUCUGGAUCAUUACUGACACUGAGGAACGAAAGCAUGGGUAGCGAAGAGGAUUAGAUACCCUCGUAGUCCAUGCCGUAAACGAUGUGUGUUAGACGUUGGAAAUUUAUUUUCAGUGUCGCAGGGAAACCGAUAAACACACCGCCUGGGGAGUACGACCGCAAGGUUA